CGAGUUCUGAUUAUUGAAAGGUGCUUGCAUCUUGAUUUAAUUUUGAACGAGUGGCGGACGGGUGAGUAACACGUGGGUAACCUGCCCUUAAGUGGGGGAUAACAUUUGGAAACAGAUGCUAAUACCGCAUAAAUCCAAGAACCGCAUGGUUCUUGGCUGAAAGAUGGCGUAAGCUAUCGCUUUUGGAUGGACCCGCGGCGUAUUAGCUAGUUGGUGAGGUAACGGCUCACCAAGGCAAUGAUACGUAGCCGAACUGAGAGGUUGAUCGGCCACAUUGGGACUGAGACACGGCCCAAACUCCUACGGGAGGCAGCAGUAGGGAAUCUUCCACAAUGGACGCAAGUCUGAUGGAGCAACGCCGCGUGAGUGAAGAAGGCUUUCGGGUCGUAAAACUCUGUUGUUGGAGAAGAAUGGUCGGCAGAGUAACUGUUGUCGGCGUGACGGUAUCCAACCAGAAAGCCACGGCUAACUACGUGCCAGCAGCCGCGGUAAUACGUAGGUGGCAAGCGUUAUCCGGAUUUAUUGGGCGUAAAGCGAGCGCAGGCGGUUUUUUAAGUCUGAUGUGAAAGCCCUCGGCUUAACCGAGGAAGUGCAUCGGAAACUGGGAAACUUGAGUGCAGAAGAGGACAGUGGAACUCCAUGUGUAGCGGUGAAAUGCGUAGAUAUAUGGAAGAACACCAGUGGCGAAGGCGGCUGUCUGGUCUGUAACUGACGCUGAGGCUCGAAAGCAUGGGUAGCGAACAGGAUUAGAUACCCUGGUAGUCCAUGCCGUAAACGAUGAAUGCUAGGUGUUGGAGGGUUUCCGCCCUUCAGUGCCGCAGCUAACGCAUUAAGCAUUCCGCCUGGGGAGUACGACCGCAAGGUUGAAACUCAAAGGAAUUGACGGGGGCCCGCACAAGCGGUGGAGCAUGUGGUUUAAUUCGAAGCAACGCGAAGAACCUUACCAGGUCUUGACAUCUUUUGAUCACCUGAGAGAUCAGGUUUCCCCUUCGGGGGCAAAAUGACAGGUGGUGCAUGGUUGUCGUCAGCUCGUGUCGUGAGAUGUUGGGUUAAGUCCCGCAACGAGCGCAACCCUUAUGACUAGUUGCCAGCAUUUAGUUGGGCACUCUAGUAAGACUGCCGGUGACAAACCGGAGGAAGGUGGGGAUGACGUCAAAUCAUCAUGCCCCUUAUGACCUGGGCUACACACGUGCUACAAUGGAUGGUACAACGAGUUGCGAGACCGCGAGGUCAAGCUAAUCUCUUAAAGCCAUUCUCAGUUCGGACUGUAGGCUGCAACUCGCCUACACGAAGUCGGAAUCGCUAGUAAUCGCGGAUCAGCACGCCGCGGUGAAUACGUUCCCGGGCCUUGUACACACCGCCCGUCACACCAUGAGAGUUUGUAACACCCGAAGCCGGUGGCGU
Molecule: ribosomal RNA, 1404 nt
Filed under: Lacticaseibacillus rhamnosus
Lineage: Bacteria; Bacillati; Bacillota; Bacilli; Lactobacillales; Lactobacillaceae
Description: bacterial SSU rRNA
Rfam family: Bacterial small subunit ribosomal RNA
Source: RNAcentral